This 253-nucleotide ribosomal RNA is filed under the name uncultured bacterium. RNAcentral's name for it is "partial 16S ribosomal RNA". It matches the Rfam family "Bacterial small subunit ribosomal RNA", at positions 524 to 776 of the family's 1533-position model. The record is from RNAcentral.
UACGUAGGCAGCAAGCGUUGUUCGGAAUUACUGGGCGUAAAGAGUGUGUAGGCGGUGCUCCAAGUCUGGUGUGAAAGCUCCCGGCUCAACUGGGAGGGUGCGCUAGAAACUGGAAUGCUAGAGGAUGGGAGAGGUAAGCGGAAUUCCUGGCGUAGCGGUGAAAUGCGUAGAUAUCAGGAGGAACACCUGUGGUGUAGGCAGCUUACUAGACCAUUUCUGACGCUGAGACGCGAAAGCGUGGGUAGCAAACAGG